UGGGGAAUAUUGCACAAUGGGGGAAACCCUGAUGCAGCGACGCCGCGUGAGCGAAGAAGGCUUUCGAGUCGUAAAGCUCUGUCCUAUGAGAAGAUAAUGACGGUAUCAUAGGAGGAAGCCCUGGCUAAGUACGUGCCAGCAGCCGCGGUAAUACGUAUGGGGCGAGCGUUGUCCGGAAUUAUUGGGCGUAAAGGGUACGUAGGCGGUUUUUUAAGUCAGGUGUCAAAGCGUGGAGCUUAACUCCAUUAAGCACUUGAAACUGAAAGACUUGAGUGAAGGAGAGGAAAGUGGAAUUCCUAGUGUAGCGGUGAAAUGCGUAGAUAUUAGGAGGAAUACCGGUGGCGAAGGCGACUUUCUGGACUUUUACUGACGCUCAGGUACGAAAGCGUGGGGAGCAAACAGG
RNAcentral lists this ribosomal RNA (403 nucleotides) under Verrucomicrobiota bacterium. RNAcentral describes it as "Verrucomicrobia bacterium partial 16S ribosomal RNA". It matches the Rfam family "Bacterial small subunit ribosomal RNA", at positions 355 to 776 of the family's 1533-position model. The record is from RNAcentral. Lineage: Bacteria; Pseudomonadati; Verrucomicrobiota.